Long non-coding RNA from Homo sapiens (human), 366 nucleotides. Lineage: Eukaryota; Metazoa; Chordata; Mammalia; Primates; Hominidae. The record is from Ensembl.
AAAAAAAGAAAGUAAAUGGACUUGCCACAGUGUACAGGCAAGAGGAGGGGAGGAUUAUCCUAAUCAAUUACUGAGCCAAUUGAUUUUUUUUUUUGCGUUAACGUAGGUAUUUUGACCAAGAUUUGUAAUGUCUAGUGUGUGUUCUUUAUGGCAGUGUUUCAUCUUUUGGCAUCCUUGAAAUGUCAGUUUUGUGUAAUUGUCUCAUGAACAAUGAAUUAUGCACACCCUUUAAUAAAUGUAAACUAACAAUUGGUUUUGGGAUUGUCUUCUUACAAAAUUAUUUAUCCUCUUAAAGUUUAAAAAGGCUUUAGAGACUGAGAGGAAAAUGCAUUUGAUUAAACAGAUAGUACUGAUGAACUCCAAAAA